UGCUCCUUUUGCCAGGGACAGAACAGGAAUGGAGUCUUAGAACUUUUAGAAAACCAUCUCCUUCCCAGCUCCAAGAAACACCCAUUGGUACAGCAACCACGCUAACUGUGAAUGGAAAGCUUCCUGCCUCAGCGGUGUCGGGAUAGACUGUCAGAACGAUGCGCCUGAGCGGCAUGUGCAGCAGCACGUAGGUCCGUGUGCAGGUCCCUGUUUCACACAAGGAAUUCUGGUGUGGAGCUGGUCCAGCUGUUUGUUGGGAAUAAAACUCAUUGUGAAUCCCACCUUUUAUCUGUCUGUGAACAGACCACAACUCCUGCUGGCUUUGGGUCUCCUUGCACUAGUCUGAACAGAAUGCAAAUGAAGGAUUGUGGGGACUUCAGAAAGGAACUCACAGGAAGAGAAAAACAGCGAGAGGAAGAACCCUAUCAGGAGUUGCUCAUCAUCCUUUUUGAAGUGUGGACACCACAACAAGAUACUCUAUCCAGUAAUGGCCUCCCUGAAUGCCCUAUACAAAGAAACACAUACUUUUUCACCUAAGAAGACAAAGGAACCAAGCCUUUAGACUUUGUGGGGAGAUCCUGACUUGAGAAGGGUGUCAGCUAUGUUGCUAGGAACAUGUGGUAAAGAUUUUACCUUGAACCAACUCCAG
This is a long non-coding RNA of Chelonia mydas (Green sea turtle), 649 nucleotides long. RefSeq lists it as uncharacterized. The record is from RefSeq and is a predicted model, not a curated record. The transcript has 6 exons. NCBI's taxonomy places the organism in Eukaryota, Metazoa, Chordata, Testudines, Cheloniidae.